This 74-nucleotide transfer RNA is filed under the name Osedax symbiont Rs1. It matches the Rfam family "tRNA". Rfam says of the family: Transfer RNA (tRNA) molecules are approximately 80 nucleotides in length. Lineage: Bacteria; Pseudomonadati; Pseudomonadota; Gammaproteobacteria; Oceanospirillales; Oceanospirillaceae. The record is from Rfam by way of RNAcentral.
CGGGGUAUAGCGCAGUUUGGUAGCGCACUUGUCUGGGGGACAAGUGGUCGCAGGUUCAAAUCCUGCUACUCCGA